Molecule: ribosomal RNA, 2083 nt
Filed under: Triticum aestivum (bread wheat)
Lineage: Eukaryota; Viridiplantae; Streptophyta; Magnoliopsida; Poales; Poaceae
Description: partial small subunit ribosomal RNA
Source: RNAcentral
UCUGGAUCGGGUCCCAGAGGCGUGGUCGGGGAAGAGUGGAAACUGCGGCGGCGGAGGAGAGGAGAGGGAGUUAAGAGGAGCGCGGCGGCGUGGAUGAGGCUCGGGGAGGAGAAGGGGUACGGUGGCCGGAGGGAGGAGACGAAGAGAGUAGCAGCCAGCGCCUAGAGGAGCGGCGCCAACGUCACCGGCUUGUUCUGCUUCUCCUCGACGUCGCAACCCAGGCACGUCGCCGGAGGAGCGCCGCCGGUCGACGAGCUGCGCGGCGCGGUGGCGACACCCUCUACCACUUGUGCUCCUCUACGUCCCACCGGAGCGGCUUUCUCCCACCGCGGCCCUUGGUGGGUGACCGCUUCCUAGCGCACCCGACCGUGAAGGGGCGCUACGGGAGGAAGGGACUGAAGCGGCAGCUGUGACGGGGGAGGGGAGGGCAGCUCCGACUCGCACGUGUCGUACCUGCUCGGCUAGCGCUGCUUUGGUCUGGCGAGCUCCGGCCCCACGCUCUUGUUCUACUACAGGUUGUCCGCCUCUCACCGGUACCCUCCUCGUCGGGUGUUACUUUAGGUAAAAGAGAAACACACACACUCCUAGCUCCUUCCUCUACCGCACCGGCGCACCCCUACUCCGCCACCUGUCUCCUUCUCCUGUCUAGACCUAGGUCCGCCGGUGAGCACACAAACUAGACAUCUCACCGGUCUCCUCAUCUGGUUGUAGGGAGAAAUGGAAGGUGCGUUGUGGUUGUACCCAAGAUCUCGACGUGAAUUGAACGAUUGUAGUAGCGGAACAAGAAGGACCGUUACAUUCCUGGUAGUUGAAGGUAGACGUUGAGAUCGUGUUCUCACUCCUACCACUCGGUUGGCUGUUGUGGCGUUCUAAGAUGUUUACCAAGAGUUUCCAAACUACCGCUACUGUACCGCGUCAGCUCGUUCAAAACCAGUUACAAAGUACCAAGUUAGUUGCUUACCACAAUUUUGACUUUUAGUACUUUCGUUCUAAAACUCACUAAGGAUGGAGCUCGAAGACGAAGUCAACAAAGAACCAACAAGUUCAUACGAACCACCAAGAGGUAGCUCCCAACUCUACCUGGUACGUGACCAAUGUAGAAGAGGAUAGAGGUACAAGAAGAAUUAAAAGAAAACGUUACUCUCGACCUAAAUCUGUCGUCAAACACGUCAGGUACGAAAAUUGUAACUUUUACUCUUCCACUUUACUACCCAAACCUGUCACGACCACAAAAAAAAGACCCGUAAUGUAAUGAUUUUACUUGAUAUAAUUGUUAACAACUUGAAGGUAUCGAUUAUUCUACUAAAAAAAGUCGUAAGCUAUACCUUGUUAAAAUGGUAUACACCGACGAAAGUCCACUAAACAAUCCACUGUGGACGCGGAAGUAAAUUUCACGUUCGGCGGAGAGAGUGACACGUAAUAGAGAUCUGCGUGGUGGCAUGUGGCGUCGAUGGCCGAUAUGUAUACUAGGUACACAGCACAAAUCAGAGAGAGAUUCUGAACUAUACGGACGCAAGACUACUAGGCUGUCUGAGAAGUAGAGAAAACUUCUAGUGGGUGGAAAACCUUCUACAAGUAGAAACUAAAGUUGACGACUUGCACAGAGUACACGAAGUCAACUAUAUCUGGGCGAUCGAACGAGACGAACGAUACAAAAUACCGACUUGUGAGAUUAUAACGUCAAGACAAUUCACAUAAGGAAAAAUUCUUUAACCGCGAGUAAACCUGACGUGUUUCUGUAAUUGUUUACUAUGUUGUUCUAAUCAUGCGGGUCAGUGCGUCUCCUCCGCACGGUCCCGCGCGGGGUCGGUGAUCAUAUACAAUAUGCAACGUUUUAACUAUAUUAACCUUUCAUGUAAGUCUAUACUUAGGUUGAUAUAUUAAAAACUACUGUACGUAAGUGUAAAACGAACAGUUUAUGUCAUGCACCAGUUUGAAACUGUUUGUUUUUUUAUGAAGGUUCUGGUGGCGGCGAGGAGAGUACAAGGUUAGGUUUUGGUAGCGACGAGGAGAGUAGAAGUUAAAGUUUUGGUGGCGGCGAGGAGAGGACAAGGUUAGGUUUUGGUGGUGGCGAGGUGAAGGU